GAGGCAUUCCAGGAUUAAAGAAAAAUGCCCCUAUUCUAGAUGUCUGAUGGUUUGGAUACAUUCCACAUAUUUCCAAAGGGAUCUACCCAGCGCUUUUGGAGUGUUAGAAGAGGCCAGGAGAUCAAGCCUGUCAGCAGUUAUUAGGUAUCUGUCCAUUCCAGAACUAAUAUUUUCUACAACCAGAGACUGAAAUGGCAUGGCCGGAGUUUUAAGUAAUUUGGCUUUGACAGUUUCAGCCUUUGCUGAGAAGUUGGAACAGAAUUUGAACUCCAUUUCUGCACUGUCCUAGGUUAUAAUGCCAUCCUUUCCUAAUGAGGGAGAUAACCGUGGAACUGCUCCUCUGACUUUGAGUUCAGAACUACCCUAUCAGAGCACAAUUAAAAGAAAAGUCAGAAAGAAGAAGAAGAAGAAUGGAGUUAUCACUGCCAAUAUUGCUGGCACGAAAUAUGAAAUUGUGCGUAUAGUAAUACAAGAGAUGGGAUUUGUGAAAACGCGUGAUGAGGAUGAAACAGCAAAUCUGAUCUGGAGCGAUUGUGCUGUGCAGCAAGAGAAGAUUGCUGAGCUGCAGAACUAUCAGAGAAUCAACCAUUUUCCAGGAAUGGGAGAGAUAUGCAGAAAGGAUUUUCUGGCAAGAAACAUGACUAAAAUGAUCAAGAGUCAGCCUCAGGAGUACAGUUUCAUUCCUCGAACGUGGAUCUUUCCUGCAGAGUACACACAGUUUCAGAACUAUGUAAAAGAAUUGAAGAAGAAACGUAGACAGAAAACUUUCAUAGUCAAACCAGCUAAUGGUGCAAUGGGACAUGGGAUCUCUUUAAUAAGAAAUGGAGAAAAGUUACAAGCUCAGGAUCACUUAAUUGUUCAGGAAUAUCUUGACAAACCAUUUCUCAUGGAAGGCUACAAGUUCGAUUUACGUGUGUAUAUUCUUGUGACCUCCUGUGAUCCAUUAAAAAUAUUUUUAUAUCAUGAUGGACUGGUGAGAAUGGGCACAGAGAAGUAUCACCCCCCCAGUGACUCAAAUUUGAGUCAAUUGUAUAUGCAUCUGACUAACUACUCUGUCAAUAAACAUAAUGAGCACUUUGAACGGGAUGAAACAGAAGACAAAGGAAGCAAACGCUCCAUAAAAUGGUUUACUGAGUUUCUAGAAACAAAUAAUCUUGAUGUCUCCAAAUUCUGGAGUGAUAUUUCAGAGCUGGUGGUGAAGACUCUGAUAGUGGCGGAGCCGCACGUGCUGCACGCCUAUCGCAUGUGCAGGCCGGGGCAAGCUCCAGGCAGCGACAGUGUCUGCUUUGAAGUCCUGGGAUUUGAUAUUCUGCUGGACAGAAAACUAAAACCAUGGCUCCUAGAGAUUAAUCGUGCCCCAAGCUUUGGAACGGAUCAAAAAAUAGACUAUGUUGUAAAAAAAGGUGUUCUGCUAAAUGCAUUGAAGCUUCUCAACAUACGGACAAGUGAUAAAAGGAAGAAUUUAGCCCAACAGAAGGCUGAGGCUCAAAAAAGAUUGUAUGGUCAAGGGUCAGUGAAAAAACUGCUGCCAGGUUCCUCAGACUGGGAGAAGCAGCGCCACACACUGGAAAGGAGAAAACAAGAACUGAAGGAAAGACUUGCACAAGUACGUAAACAGAUUUCCAAAGAGGAGCAUGAAAAUAGACACAUGGGGAAUUACAGGCGAAUUUACCCUCCUGAUGAUAAGACAUUACUUGAAAAGUAUGAGAGUUUGCUAGCCACUGCUUUCCAGACGUUUCUUUCUGGAAGAGCAGCUUCGCUUCAGCGGGAAAUGAAUAACCCCUUAAAAAGAAUGAAGGAGGAGGACAUUUUGGAUCUUCUGGAGCAGUGUGAAAUAGAUGAUGAAAAACUAACAGGAAAAUGCCCCAGGCAGCGAGGACCUAAGCCCUUGUGUUCAAUGCCAGAAAGUGCACAUUCCUUAAGGAAACAUAAGAACCACAGCAGUGACAGUAGCUGUGAUAGUGACAGCAGUGUGUCAGACUCGGGAGAAGAAACUGAAAAGGAAGAUCACAAUGAAAAAAAAGAGAAAAAAGUUUCAUAUGAUGUUGAAGAAAAUAAAUACAAAUCUUUGGAACGAUCAGGUAGAAUGAACUGCAAACCUUCAAAUAAAAAUGUAAAGUCUCCAUCAUAUUCGUCCCCCACAUCAUCCACAGGUCCAAUCCGGCGUUCUGUGAGCUGCCCUCGCUCCAUAUCAGUCCUCUCUAUGCAGUCCCAGGGAGCGGAGCCGCGCCCCUUCUCAGCCAAAGCAGCUCUCCAAAUGCAGCGAACAGCCUCUGUGAACAGGUCCCACUCCUUGAGUCGUAGCCCAUCUUCAGCCAGAUUCUCUCAGACAGCCACCUCGGGAACUAUGAACUCUUCAGGGUCAGCUAAUAGAAUUGGAAAGACAUUAAGAUUGUGUCUUCACAACAACGUGUUAAAGAGUGAGUCUUUGCUGCAACAGAAAACAAAAGAGCAAGAAGUUGCUUUGACAAAAGAGACUCUUCUCCGUAUCAAUGACUUGAAAGUAAGGUUCCCAGGAAAAACAAAUGAAGAAUCUGAAUUAAUUAUAGAAGAUAUUAUGGACAAUUGGAAGUAUCAUAAAACAAAAGUCUCAUCCUAUUGGUUGGUAAAACUGGAUUCAGCAAAACAACGAAAAGUUUUGGAUAUAGUCAGGACAAGUGUCCGUGCAGUUCUACAGCACGUCUGGAAAGCUCCAGACAUUGAAAAUCUCCAUCUGUACCGUCUUUUUAACCGGCUGUUUAAUCGCUUACUUUGGAGCCACGGCCAAGGCCUAUGGAACUGUUUCUGUAAUUCAGGGAGCUCUUGGGAAACCACAUUUAGUAAAGGCUCAGAGGCGCUGACUCCGGAGCAGCUCCAGUGCUGCCAGCGAAUAGUUCAGCUUUGUAAACACUGCCUGCUGGUAGUUUACAAACACUCAUCAGAUGCAAGAGGAUCCCCAACUGGGAUGAGCCACCACUGGGAUGAUACAAGAUCCCUCAAAGUCAGUGUUUCCAGAUUUGCAUUCCUAGAGGUAUCCUAACAUGUCAGAUACUUCUGGCUUCACAUUCGCAGUGGGCUGCCAUAGGGGCACAGCUCCAGCCAAGGGUCAGGUGUUUAUUGCCAAGACCUUCACUGUUCAUCCUGAAACCAUCCUCAUCCAAACUUAGCUGCAGUCCAUCUGGAUCGCCUCGCCCUAACCUUUUGUUCACACACAGAUACAGCCACUUGUGAAGUAAAAGGAAAUUGCUGUUGUAAAUAAUAGCAAUUUCUUUUUUUUUUUUUAAACUUGUGAUGGAGCUAAACAUAAGCACUGUUAUAUAUUUCUUACCAUCGUAUUAUAAUAAAAUUUAGCUGAAAACCUACUGUAAAAGCAUAGCUUUUCUGGGAACAUAAUAAACCUUGUUAAGUUGUUUACACACACAUGUGAAUGUGUAGAUCUUGCUAGGUUUAUAAGUAACUCCUUCCUACUAGAAAUGUUAUUUUUGCUGCAGAAUAUAUAAAAUGAAAUUGUUCUGGAAGAUUCUAUACAGUAUUACAUUAUUUUGUAAGUACAAUACUUUGACUUGAAAAUUAUUUAUUGUAAACUGUAUUAUUAUUUAUUGUCUCAAAUGUCCUUUAACAAAGCAGAUAAUUAGAAAACUCUUGCAGAAGAGUAAAUCUGUAACAGUUAUCAAAAAUAAUUUGAUCAUGGAUAUGUUAUCAAAAAUAAUCUGUUCUUGGAUAUGUUUAAAAUAAACCCCAAAAUUCUGUAAGCCAAAUCUAAAGCAGACAUAUUUUUAUUUCUCCUCUGAAAUGACAAGAUCUAUUUAAUACUGCUAUUUUUCUUAAAGGACAUGAUAUAGUAUCCUUUAGCCAAAGUGAAGGCAUCUAGUACUCAAACAGUAAAAUAUCAGUUUAGGCAUUCACUUCCUAAUUGGAUUCUUGUAAUAAAAUGGAAGCCAAUGUUUGUUUCCAGGUUUUCAUUCACAUUACCUGUAUCCUGUGCCUUUAGGUUUCCUUUGGGAGCAAGCAGUCAUCCUCAGCUCCACACGCAUGCAUAGUGCAUAGUUUUUCUGUUACACUGCCUAAGUGGUAAAGCAGACAUUUUUAGGAAAUACUGCAGCUGUAAUGUAUUAUUUAAAACUUACACUAAUUGGUUUGUUGUAGUUUUUAGCAUGCAAUCCAGUACCUACUGUAGAAUGUAUCUUUGCAAUGGACAGUAUUUUCUAGAUUGCUGACACCUUUAAAUGUUGGAAAUCUAAUUCACUAGAAAGCUCUCAUUCAGGUCUAGAUUCCUGAGACUGGCUGAACAGCACAAAACCAAAAUGAGCCAGAGCAGGAACCUAGUAUUUACAGGAUUUGUAGCCUGAAAACAUCAUUUGGGUUUUGAUACAUACAGCCAUUUAUCCCACUCAGCAUUGUGCCAUGUGAGCCUUAUUCAUUAGAGAAAUAAUUAUUAAAGAAAUCAGUUACUCUAGAUCUAAAAAUAAUUGAGUUUUUUAUUUGAGUGAAGAGCAGAGUAGUUAUUAUUUACCAAAGACUCGUGUACUUACGAAUCAUUUAACCCUGAAAUGUGUUUUUAAAUUAUCAAUGUAUUUCAGGUAUACUUUAAAAAUAAUUUGGGGGCUAAUUAUCCUCAGGAGCAAAUAUGUUAGUGUUUUUUGAUAUCCAACAAUUUAAGACAAAAUUUAAGAGACUUAAGAGAUUUCAGACUGAAGUUGUAUGGAAAUUAUUUUUUAAGAAGUUUUAGUCAUAGGAUAUAUAAAAACUGGAAAUUUGGUUGAGAUUUUUGAUGCCUGUGCUGUAGUGCCUCAGCUCUAGAAUUGCAGAAUAUAUAACAAGAAUAUUUGUAAACAAAUAAAAAUACCCUCUUGCAAUUACCAGAUCAAAUCAGUCUUUUGGUCUGGUAAAGUCUUUUUAAUUUUGUGGUAAUAAUAGUUCAGUAAUAUAGUAUGUUCACAUUAAUUGUAUGUCUCUUUUGAUCCAUACAGUGACUAUUAAUGCAUACUCUGGUUAUCUGUAACAUCUAAUAAAAGCUGUAAAUUUUCUCUUCUUGGAGGAGGCUUCCAUUGCAUUCUACUUUUGGCCAUAAGGAUAAGAUCAGCUUCCAGCUUAGCUUGCCAGACUCUAACAGAGCUUUAGGACAGGAGGUUCACAUGUCUUUUUAUUCCUAAACUUCACUAUAUGAUUUCUAUUUUCGAAUGCCAGUGCUGGGCCAGGUCAGUCUGUACAGAAUACUCUGCCAAAAGAAAGAGGGCUACUAACCAUACCUAUGGACAAAUCUAGGAAAAAAAAAUUCAUUUAGCAUGUACAAAAGUGGACCAGAUGGUGGUUUACAUCUGACAUGACUUAAUAUAUUUGUAUGUCUGAUAACCUUUCCUAAAGUGGUCAUGUGUUCCUAAUAUAAUGUGUGAAUCAAUACCUUUAAUAAACAUCAUGCUACACUUG
This is a non-coding RNA of Zonotrichia albicollis (white-throated sparrow), 5406 nucleotides long. NCBI's taxonomy places the organism in Eukaryota, Metazoa, Chordata, Aves, Passeriformes, Passerellidae. The record is from RefSeq and is a predicted model, not a curated record.